This 74-nucleotide transfer RNA is filed under the name Treponema sp. RNAcentral describes it as "tRNA-Asn". It matches the Rfam family "tRNA". Rfam says of the family: Transfer RNA (tRNA) molecules are approximately 80 nucleotides in length. RNAcentral also lists the same sequence under 1 other name. The record is from RNAcentral. Lineage: Bacteria; Pseudomonadati; Spirochaetota; Spirochaetia; Treponematales; Treponemataceae.
GGAGAAUUAGCUCAGUAGGUCAGAGCGCUUGCCUGUUAAGCAAGAUGUCACUGGUUCGAGUCCAGUAUUCUCCG